AAAGUCGUAACAAGGUUUCCGUAGGUGAACCUGCGGAAGGAUCAUUCAUAAUAAGUGUUUAUGGCACUUUUAAAAAAUCCAUACCCACCUUGUGUGCAUCGUUAGUCAUGUUCUUCGUUCUCUCUCGAGGGGACGGUGGAGGCAGACUUCAAAUUAAUCUAUCUUUAACCAGUUUGUCUGAAGCAAUGUAUCGUGAAUUAACAUAAUUCUAAAAUACAACUUUCAACAACGGAUCUCUUGGCUCUC
Molecule: unclassified non-coding RNA, 246 nt
Filed under: Mucoromycotina sp.
Lineage: Eukaryota; Fungi; Mucoromycota
Description: partial contains small subunit ribosomal RNA, internal transcribed spacer 1, and 5.8S ribosomal RNA
Rfam family: Eukaryotic small subunit ribosomal RNA (bases 1-47)
Source: RNAcentral